GAUGAACGCUGGCGGCGUGCUUAACACACGCAAGUCGAGCGAAGCAUUUGCAGUUGAUUUCUUCGGAAUGAUUCUGUUUAUGACUGAGCGGCGGACGGGUGAGUAACGCGUGGGGAACCUGCCUCAUACAGGGGGAUAACAGUUAGAAAUGACUGCUAAUACCGCAUAAGCGCACAGUGCCGCAUGGCGCCGUGUGGAAAACUCCGGUGGUAUGAGAUGGACCCGCGUCUGAUUAGCUGGUUGGUGGGGUAACGGCCCACCAAGGCGACGAUCAGUAGCUGACCUGAGAGGGUGAUCGGCCACAUUGGGACUGAGACACGGCCCAA
Molecule: ribosomal RNA, 326 nt
Filed under: uncultured bacterium
Lineage: Bacteria
Description: bacterial SSU rRNA
Rfam family: Bacterial small subunit ribosomal RNA
Source: RNAcentral